CCUACGGGAGGCAGCAGUGGGGAAUAUUGGACAAUGGGCGAAAGCCUGAUCCAGCCAUGCCGCGUGUGUGAAGAAGGCCUUCGGGUUGUAAAGCACUUUCAGUGGGGAAGAAAGCCUUGGGGCUAAUACCCUCGAGGAAGGACAUCACCCACAGAAGAAGCACCGGCUAACUCCGUGCCAGCAGCCGCGGUAAUACGGAGGGUGCGAGCGUUAAUCGGAAUUACUGGGCGUAAAGCGCGCGUAGGCGGUCUGAUAAGCCGGUUGUGAAAGCCCCGGGCUCAACCUGGGAACGGCAUCCGGAACUGUCAGGCUAGAGUGCAGGAGAGGAAGGUAGAAUUCCCGGUGUAGCGGUGAAAUGCGUAGAGAUCGGGAGGAAUACCAGUGGCGAAGGCGGCCUUCUGGACUGACACUGACGCUGAGGUGCGAAAGCGUGGGUAGCAAACGGGAUUAGAUACCCUAGUAGUC
This 465-nucleotide ribosomal RNA is filed under the name Vreelandella stevensii. RNAcentral's name for it is "partial 16S ribosomal RNA". It matches the Rfam family "Bacterial small subunit ribosomal RNA", at positions 338 to 795 of the family's 1533-position model. Lineage: Bacteria; Pseudomonadati; Pseudomonadota; Gammaproteobacteria; Oceanospirillales; Halomonadaceae. The record is from RNAcentral.